This 27-nucleotide non-coding RNA is filed under the name Homo sapiens (human). Lineage: Eukaryota; Metazoa; Chordata; Mammalia; Primates; Hominidae. The record is from RNAcentral.
UGGAGGUGUUCCCUACCUGUUCGGUGU